CAGUUGAUUUAAUUUCAAGACACCCACAAGUCUUCUUAAGCACAUAAUUCCAACCUUCAUUUCCCCACAACCAAUAUCCCUUUUCUCCUUACACACACAAAAAAUUUGAAAGAGAGAGAGAUGGGAAGAGCUCCAUGUUGUGACAAAGCAAAUGUGAAGAAAGGGCCAUGGUCACCUGAAGAAGAUGCAAAGCUUAAAGACUACAUACAAACUCAUGGUACUGGUGGCAACUGGAUUGCUCUCCCACAAAAAGCAGGCCUUAGAAGAUGUGGUAAGAGUUGCAGGUUGAGAUGGCUCAACUAUCUCAGACCAAACAUCAAACAUGGUGAAUUUUCUGAUGAUGAAGACAAACUUAUUUGUACCCUUUAUGCUAGCAUUGGUAGCAGGUGGUCAGUAAUGGCAGCACAGUUACCAGGAAGAACAGAUAAUGAUAUCAAGAACUACUGGAACACAAAACUGAAGAAGAAGAUGAUGAGCAACUUAAUUACCAUGCCUGAAAUUCAAAAACCUCUUCAUCAUCUUCAAUCUUUCAUUUCCUCAACAAACUACAACUACCCAUCACUGUCAAAUGAUAUCAAUAUUAAUGCUCCAUUAUCAUCACCACCACCACCACAGUCAUCAUAUAUCUAUAGCUCACAUACUUCUAGAUAUCAUGAUCAAACCCUAUCUAUCCCAUCAAGUCCUAUAACAACAACAACUGCUUCUGCUGCUGCUGUUGUUUCUGAUCAUCAUCACCAUCCAGUUCUACAACCACAAGAUCAUGGGCAUCUUGGUUACCAAAGGGUAAAGGACAGUUCUACCCUUGUGAUGUUUGGAGGUGAUCAAGCUAGUUCCAGUAAUUCUAACUCUGAGGGGAGUUGUCAAUAUGAGUAUGGUACUGGUAUAGGUGUGUAUGAUCACAACAAGUACAACAUGGGACAUAUGAGGAGCAAUCCUUUCAAGGAAUGUGGGAUGAUGACAUAUGAUAAGGAUUUAGGGUAUGAUGAUUCUUCACUGGACUCCAGUCUUGAGGAGAUUAAGCAGCUUAUUAGCACAGAUCUUUGCAGCAGUAACAUUGACAGCAAUCUCAACUUUUAUGUUGAUGAAACCAAGGAAGUAAAAAAAGUUAUGUACUUUUAGUUCUUGAGUCAACUAUGGAUGCUGAACAUGGUCAUCAUCACCAUCACCAUGUUCCUCAACAUCACGAGUCAGGUUUUCUACACCCUUUUUCACGGCCACCACAAAUGUUGAAUGUUGAUGGAAUCAUUGGAUCUUGUGCCUUAUUGUUUCUCCGGUUUUUUCAAGGUUGGAAAAGUUGUUUUAUAGCAUGUUCUAAAAUCUGUUGCGCCACAACUAAAGCGAGAGGGUGAUAAUACUAUAUUUUAUUACUCUCCUGUAAUCAGUUUAAAAUAACCCGAUUAUAUUACCAUGUAUAACCCAAAGAUAAAUCCAGACUAUAUUUAGAAUUUGGUCCUACCAAUCAAAUUGUUUUCAUGCA
Helianthus annuus (common sunflower) is the source of this 1477-nucleotide RNA transcript. It is a transcript of the gene named transcription factor RAX2, with no coding region annotated. The record is from RefSeq and is a predicted model, not a curated record. NCBI's taxonomy places the organism in Eukaryota, Viridiplantae, Streptophyta, Magnoliopsida, Asterales, Asteraceae. The transcript has 4 exons.